RNAcentral lists this long non-coding RNA (388 nucleotides) under Anser brachyrhynchus (Pink-footed goose). Its description in RNAcentral is "lncRNA (ENSABRG00000013395.1)". Lineage: Eukaryota; Metazoa; Chordata; Aves; Anseriformes; Anatidae. The record is from RNAcentral.
GCUGAACUGUCAGAAAGUUAUUGAAAUGCUGUUCAGAAUGCAAAGAAUAAAUGGUUCAAAUGACCCAUCCGUUCACCCCUAAAAGCAGAGUGCUUCCUAAUACAUGGAGAUCUCCUCCAUUAAUGUUCACGGUGUUGCCACAGUAUCCAUCCUGUGCUGGUGCACACCUCCAGGUUAUUGUACAUACCUUAAGUUUGGUGUGCAUGAUAACAUGGCCUGAAAAAUCUUCAUUUCAUUAUAUGGAUCUCUGACAAGAAUUAUAGUAGCCAACAAAGACUUGCAUUAACAACAUUCUGCCUGGACUCAUGACACAGCAUCAUUUCCAACACUCAUGUGCACUUGCUUUUUGCUCAAUAAAGUGGCAAGACUAACUUAUACUUGCUCCCCA